This 1003-nucleotide ribosomal RNA is filed under the name Klebsiella pneumoniae. Its description in RNAcentral is "bacterial SSU rRNA". It matches the Rfam family "Bacterial small subunit ribosomal RNA", at positions 1 to 995 of the family's 1533-position model. Lineage: Bacteria; Pseudomonadati; Pseudomonadota; Gammaproteobacteria; Enterobacterales; Enterobacteriaceae. The record is from RNAcentral.
AAAUUGAAGAGUUUGAUCAUGGCUCAGAUUGAACGCUGGCGGCAGGCCUAACACAUGCAAGUCGAGCGGUAGCACAGAGAGCUUGCUCUCGGGUGACGAGCGGCGGACGGGUGAGUAAUGUCUGGGAAACUGCCUGAUGGAGGGGGAUAACUACUGGAAACGGUAGCUAAUACCGCAUAACGUCGCAAGACCAAAGUGGGGGACCUUCGGGCCUCAUGCCAUCAGAUGUGCCCAGAUGGGAUUAGCUAGUAGGUGGGGUAACGGCUCACCUAGGCGACGAUCCCUAGCUGGUCUGAGAGGAUGACCAGCCACACUGGAACUGAGACACGGUCCAGACUCCUACGGGAGGCAGCAGUGGGGAAUAUUGCACAAUGGGCGCAAGCCUGAUGCAGCCAUGCCGCGUGUGUGAAGAAGGCCUUCGGGUUGUAAAGCACUUUCAGCGGGGAGGAAGGCGGUGAGGUUAAUAACCUCAUCGAUUGACGUUACCCGCAGAAGAAGCACCGGCUAACUCCGUGCCAGCAGCCGCGGUAAUACGGAGGGUGCAAGCGUUAAUCGGAAUUACUGGGCGUAAAGCGCACGCAGGCGGUCUGUCAAGUCGGAUGUGAAAUCCCCGGGCUCAACCUGGGAACUGCAUUCGAAACUGGCAGGCUAGAGUCUUGUAGAGGGGGGUAGAAUUCCAGGUGUAGCGGUGAAAUGCGUAGAGAUCUGGAGGAAUACCGGUGGCGAAGGCGGCCCCCUGGACAAAGACUGACGCUCAGGUGCGAAAGCGUGGGGAGCAAACAGGAUUAGAUACCCUGGUAGUCCACGCCGUAAACGAUGUCGAUUUGGAGGUUGUGCCCUUGAGGCGUGGCUUCCGGAGCUAACGCGUUAAAUCGACCGCCUGGGGAGUACGGCCGCAAGGUUAAAACUCAAAUGAAUUGACGGGGGCCCGCACAAGCGGUGGAGCAUGUGGUUUAAUUCGAUGCAACGCGAAGAACCUUACCUGGUCUUGACAUCCACAGAA